CUUCGUCUUGUUAUCAUGUAGUGCUCACACUCACGGCCACGGCCAGUCACCGCCGGUUUGCCUGCACACGUUCUGUUUCAAAUGUAAUGCUUCUGCUCGGUCAUACGCCAGGUCGAAAUGCACACAGGUCAAGUCAUACAUGUCAAGGGCCGUCCAAACCGCGGCAACGGCCGCUCCAGCUGUUGUCCCGGCCAACAGCCCGGUCCGCACACAACACACGGCCGCCG
This 227-nucleotide long non-coding RNA is filed under the name Chlamydomonas reinhardtii. Its description in RNAcentral is "long non-coding RNA (CREI_LNC000593)". Lineage: Eukaryota; Viridiplantae; Chlorophyta; Chlorophyceae; Chlamydomonadales; Chlamydomonadaceae. The record is from RNAcentral.